GACGAACGCUGGCGGCGUGCUUAACACAUGCAAGUCGAACGGAAAGGCCCUGCUUUUGUGGGGUGCUCGAGUGGCGAACGGGUGAGUAACACGUGAGUAACCUGCCCUUGACUUUGGGAUAACUUCAGGAAACUGGGGCUAAUACCGGAUAGGAGCUCCUGCUGCAUGGUGGGGGUUGGAAAGUUUCGGCGGUUGGGGAUGGACUCGCGGCUUAUCAGCUUGUUGGUGGGGUAGUGGCUUACCAAGGCUUUGACGGGUAGCCGGCCUGAGAGGGUGACCGGCCACAGUGGGACUGAGAUACGGCCCAGACUCCUACGGGAGGCAGCAGUGGGGAAUAUUGCACAAUGGGCGGAAGCCUGAUGCAGCAACGCCGCGUGCAGGAUGACGGCCUUCGGGUUGUAAACCGCUUUCGCCUGUGACGAAGCGUGAGUGACGGUAAUGGGUAAAGAAGCACCGGCUAACUACGUG
RNAcentral lists this ribosomal RNA (468 nucleotides) under uncultured bacterium. RNAcentral's name for it is "partial 16S ribosomal RNA". It matches the Rfam family "Bacterial small subunit ribosomal RNA", at positions 28 to 507 of the family's 1533-position model. The record is from RNAcentral.